CCUACGGGAGGCUGCAGUGGGGAAUAUUGGACAAUGGGGGGAACCCUGAUCCAGCCAUGCCGCGUGUGUGAAGAAGGCCCUCGGGUUGUAAAGCACUUUCAGUGAGGAAGAACGCCUGGUGGUUAAUACCCAUCAGGAAAGACAUCACUCACAGAAGAAGCACCGGCUAACUCCGUGCCAGCAGCCGCGGUAAUACGGAGGGUGCGAGCGUUAAUCGGAAUUACUGGGCGUAAAGCGCGCGUAGGUGGCUUGAUAAGCCGGUUGUGAAAGCCCCGGGCUCAACCUGGGAACGGCAUCCGGAACUGUCAAGCUAGAGUGCAGGAGAGGAAGGUAGAAUUCCCGGUGUAGCGGUGAAAUGCGUAGAGAUCGGGAGGAAUACCAGUGGCGAAGGUGGCCUUCUGGACUGACACUGACACUGAGGUGCGAAAGCGUGGGUAGCAAACAGGAUUAGAUACCCCUGUAGUC
This 465-nucleotide ribosomal RNA is filed under the name Vreelandella stevensii. RNAcentral's name for it is "partial 16S ribosomal RNA". It matches the Rfam family "Bacterial small subunit ribosomal RNA", at positions 338 to 795 of the family's 1533-position model. The record is from RNAcentral. Lineage: Bacteria; Pseudomonadati; Pseudomonadota; Gammaproteobacteria; Oceanospirillales; Halomonadaceae.